UGGGGAAUUUUGGACAAUGGGGGAAACCCUGAUCCAGCCAUCCCGCGUGUGCGAUGAAGGCCUUCGGGUUGUAAAGCACUUUUGGCAGGAAAGAAACGUCGCGGGUUAAUACCCCGCGAAACUGACGGUACCUGCAGAAUAAGCACCGGCUAACUACGUGCCAGCAGCCGCGGUAAUACGUAGGGUGCAAGCGUUAAUCGGAAUUACUGGGCGUAAAGCGUGCGCAGGCGGUUCGGAAAGAAAGAUGUGAAAUCCCAGAGCUUAACUUUGGAACUGCAUUUUUAACUACCGGGCUAGAGUGUGUCAGAGGGAGGUGGAAUUCCGCGUGUAGCAGUGAAAUGCGUAGAUAUGCGGAGGAACACCGAUGGCGAAGGCAGCCUCCUGGGAUAACACUGACGCUCAUGCACGAAAGCGUGGGGAGCAAACAGGAUUAGAUACCCUGGUAGUCCACGCCCUAAACGAUGUCAACUAGCUGUUGGGGGCCUUCGGGCCUUGGUAGCGCAGCUAACGCGUGAAGUUGACCGCCUGGGGGAGUACGGUCGCAAGAUU
This 549-nucleotide ribosomal RNA is filed under the name uncultured bacterium. RNAcentral's name for it is "partial 16S ribosomal RNA". It matches the Rfam family "Bacterial small subunit ribosomal RNA", at positions 355 to 895 of the family's 1533-position model. The record is from RNAcentral.